RNAcentral lists this ribosomal RNA (325 nucleotides) under uncultured bacterium. RNAcentral's name for it is "bacterial SSU rRNA". It matches the Rfam family "Bacterial small subunit ribosomal RNA", at positions 28 to 334 of the family's 1533-position model. The record is from RNAcentral.
GAUGAACGCUGGCGGCGUGCUUAACACAUGCAAGUCGAACGAAGCGCCUUUAAUUGAUUUCUUCGGAAGGAUAUUAGAAGUGACUGAGUGGCGGACGGGUGAGUAACGCGUGGGUAACCUGCCUCAUACAGGGGGAUAACAGUUGGAAACGACUGCUAAUACCGCAUAAGCGCACGGUAUCGCAUGAUACAGUGUGAAAACUCCGGUGGUAUGAGAUGGACCCGCGUCUGAUUAGCUAGUUGGUGGGGUAACGGCCCACCAAGGCGACGAUCAGUAGCCGACCUGAGAGGGUGACCGGCCACAUUGGGACUGAGACACGGCCCAA